RNAcentral lists this ribosomal RNA (468 nucleotides) under uncultured bacterium. Its description in RNAcentral is "partial 16S ribosomal RNA". It matches the Rfam family "Bacterial small subunit ribosomal RNA", at positions 28 to 507 of the family's 1533-position model. The record is from RNAcentral.
GACGAACGCUGGCGGCGUGCUUAACACAUGCAAGUCGAACGGAAAGGCCCUGCUUUUGUGGGGUGCUCGAGUGGCGAACGGGUGAGUAACACGUGAGUAACCUGCCCUUGACUUUGGGAUAACUUCAGGAAACUGGGGCUAAUACCGGAUAGGAGCUCCUGCUGCAUGGUGGGGGUUGGAAAGUUUCGGCGGUUGGGGAUGGACUCGCGGCUUGUCAGCUUGUUGGUGGGGUAGUGGCUUACCAAGGCUUUGGCGGGUGGCCGGCCUGGGCGGGUGACCGGACACAUUGGGACGGGGAUACGGCCCAGACUCCAACGGGAGGCAGCAGUGGGGAAUAUUGCACAAUGGGCGGAAGCCUGAUGCAGCAACGCCGCGUGCGGGAUGACGUCCUGCGGGUUGUAAACCGCUUUCGCCUGUGACGAAGCGUGAGUGACGGUAAUGGGUAAAGAAGCACCGGCUAACUACGUG